UGCGUAGGCGGAUAGAUUAGUCAGAGGUGAAAUCCUGCAGCUUAACUGUAGAAUUGCCUUUGAUACUGUUUAUCUUGAAUUAGGUUGAGGUCAGCGGAAUGUGGCAUGUAGCGGUGAAAUGCAUAGAUAUGCCAUAGAACACCAAUUGCGAAGGCAGCUGGCUAGGCUUUAAUUGACGCUGAGGCACGAAAGCGUGGGGAGCGAACAGGAUUAGAUACCCUGGUAGUCC
This 229-nucleotide ribosomal RNA is filed under the name uncultured bacterium. RNAcentral describes it as "partial 16S ribosomal RNA". It matches the Rfam family "Bacterial small subunit ribosomal RNA", at positions 568 to 796 of the family's 1533-position model. The record is from RNAcentral.